UCUCCGUAGGUGAACCUGCGGAGGGAUCAUUACAGGGUUCUCGCCCUCGCGGGUAGAUCUCCCACCCACUGUUAUCGUUACUGUGUUGCUUUGGCGGGCCGCCGGGCCCCGCUCGGCCGCCGGCUCCGGCUGGCGCGCGCCCGCCAGAGGCCCAGCAAACUCUGAAUGUUAGUGUCGUCUGAGUACUAUAUAAUAGUUAAAACUUUCAACAACGGAUCUCUUGGUUCUG
Molecule: unclassified non-coding RNA, 229 nt
Filed under: plant metagenome
Description: partial contains small subunit ribosomal RNA, internal transcribed spacer 1, and 5.8S ribosomal RNA
Source: RNAcentral